RNAcentral lists this transfer RNA (87 nucleotides) under Candidatus Parcubacteria bacterium. Its description in RNAcentral is "tRNA-Ser". It matches the Rfam family "tRNA". Rfam says of the family: Transfer RNA (tRNA) molecules are approximately 80 nucleotides in length. Their secondary structure includes four short double-helical elements and three loops (D, anti-codon, and T loops). The record is from RNAcentral. Lineage: Bacteria; Candidatus Parcubacteria.
GGAGGAGUGGCAGAGUGGUCGAUUGCACUGGUCUUGAAAACCAGAGCAUCCGAAAGGGUGCCGUGAGUUCGAAUCUCACCUCCUCCG